RNAcentral lists this long non-coding RNA (478 nucleotides) under Homo sapiens (human). RNAcentral's name for it is "non-protein coding lnc-S1PR1-11:1". Lineage: Eukaryota; Metazoa; Chordata; Mammalia; Primates; Hominidae. The record is from RNAcentral.
ACACCUGGCUAAUUAAAAAAAAAAUUUUCUUGUAGAGUCAAAUCUGACUAUGUUGCUCAUGCUGGUUGAACUCCUGGGCUCAAGUGGUAUUCUCACCUAGGCCUCUUAAAGUGCUGAGAUUACAGGCCUGAGCCACAGAAAAUGGAGCAGGUCAAUCACCCAGUAGGGCUUGUUACCAGUGUGGUUUGCAAGGACACCUCAAAAAAGAUUGUCCAAUGAGAAACAAGCUGCCCCCUCGCCCAUGUCCUCUAUGCCAAGGCAAUCACUGGAAGGCACACUGCCCUAGAAGGCAGUGGUUCUCUGGGCCAGAAGCCCUCAACCAGAUGAUCCAACAACAGGACUGAAUGUGCCUGGGGCAAGCACCAGCUCAUGUCCUCACCCUUACUGAGCCUUGGGGAGGUUUAACCAUUGACGGCCAGAAAAUUGACUUCCUCCUGGACACUGGCAUGACUUUCUCAGUGUUAAUCUCCUGUCCCAG